GGUGGGAGGUUGGGCCCCGAGGGGCCCGCACUCGGNNUAUGNUNANCCUGCGGAAGGAUCAUUACCGAGUGCGGGCCCCUCGGGGCCCAACCUCCCACCCGUGUUGCCCGAACCUAUGUUGCCUCGGCGGGCCCCGCGCCCGCCGACGGCCCCCCUGAACGCUGUCUGAAGUUGCAGUCUGAGACCUAUAACGAAAUUAGUUAAAACUUUCAACAACGGAUCUCUUGGUUCCGGCAUCGAUGAAGAACGCAGCGAAAUGCGAUAACUAAUGUGAAUUGCAGAAUUCAGUGAAUCAUCGAGUCUUUGAACGCACAUUGCGCCCUCUGGUAUUCCGGAGGGCAUGCCUGUCCGAGCGUCAUUGCUGCCCUCAAGCCCGGCUUGUGUGUUGGGCCCCGUCCCCCCCGGCGGGGGGGACGGGCCCGAAAGGCAGCGGCGGCACCGCGUCCGGUCCUCGAGCGUAUGGGGCUUCGUCACCCGCUCUAGUAGGCCCGGCCGGCGCCAGCCGACCCCCAACCUUUAAUUAUCUCAGGUUGACCUCGGAUCAGGUAGGGAUACCCGCUGAACUUAAGCAUAUNAANNANCNNUGCCGAGUGCGGGCCCCUCGGGGCCCAACCUCCCACCGUGUUGCCGAACCNAUGUUGCCUCGGCGGGC
Molecule: ribosomal RNA, 652 nt
Filed under: Penicillium citrinum
Lineage: Eukaryota; Fungi; Ascomycota; Eurotiomycetes; Eurotiales; Aspergillaceae
Description: eukaryotic LSU rRNA
Rfam family: 5.8S ribosomal RNA (bases 205-358)
Source: RNAcentral